CGUGUAGGCGGUCAGGUAAGUGGAAUGUGAAAGCCCUCGGCUCACCCGAGGAUCUGCAUUCCAAACUGCCUGGCUUGAGUAUGGGAGAGGAUGAGGGAAUUCCUGGUGUAGCGGUGAAAUGCGUAGAUAUCAGGAGGAACACCGGUGGCGAAGGCGCUCAUCUGGCCCAAUACUGACGCUGAGGCGCGAAAGCUAGGGGAGCAAACG
RNAcentral lists this ribosomal RNA (207 nucleotides) under uncultured bacterium. RNAcentral's name for it is "partial 16S ribosomal RNA". It matches the Rfam family "Bacterial small subunit ribosomal RNA", at positions 568 to 774 of the family's 1533-position model. The record is from RNAcentral.